GCUUGGGUAGCUCAGUUGGUAGAGCAUUCGCCUGAAGAGCGAAGGGUCGGCGGUUCGAGCCCGCCCCCAAGCACAA
RNAcentral lists this transfer RNA (76 nucleotides) under Candidatus Vogelbacteria bacterium RIFOXYD1_FULL_46_19. RNAcentral describes it as "tRNA-Phe". It matches the Rfam family "tRNA". From Rfam's summary of the family: Transfer RNA (tRNA) molecules are approximately 80 nucleotides in length. Lineage: Bacteria; Candidatus Vogeliibacteriota. The record is from RNAcentral.